Molecule: long non-coding RNA, 609 nt
Filed under: Elaeis guineensis (African oil palm)
Lineage: Eukaryota; Viridiplantae; Streptophyta; Magnoliopsida; Arecales; Arecaceae
Description: long non-coding RNA (EGUI_LNC019434)
Source: RNAcentral
GGUCUCGUUGGACUCCGUUUUUCACCGCGAACCUCGUUGUAGGCUCAAUGUGGGCUGAAUCUCGAAGCGUCAAAUCCUAACAAUUUUCAAUACAGUUGGAAUUCAAAUUGAAAUGUCCAAUUUAAUACUAAAAGACUUUACCAAUUAAAUAAGCUAGUACUUGCAGUGUUCCCAUGCCAAAGCCGAAGCAUAUGGCAUUCAUAUUAAUGGUAUUGACUUUUUGAUUUUUUCAUGAAAUAGUUAUUUUACUUUUGCCGCAAUGAACUAACCAAUAAUAGAUCUUCAUGAGUAUUAUUAGUACUACUUCAGCUAAUGUAAAACAAAGUUGCAGAAUAACACCCCAACGGAAAUUAGUCUUGCCGCACAAGUUUGUUUACAGUAAGAUAUUUUGGAUUCUUGCGGUCCUUAUAUUCCUCAAAUGAUGGCAUCACUUAAUGUAACAUAUCAAAUCCGCAGAGGACAAGGAGGAGGCUCAUGCAUGGACUUAGAUGAAAUAACCUCUACUCGUUACACGCACGACACGCAUGUUUCGUUGCCUCUUGGUCGGGACCUUCCACAUGCCUUGGCGGUGCGGGCAAUGCAUGACGCAUGUGUGAUUUUUUUUUUUUU